RNAcentral lists this ribosomal RNA (244 nucleotides) under uncultured bacterium. RNAcentral describes it as "partial 16S ribosomal RNA". It matches the Rfam family "Bacterial small subunit ribosomal RNA", at positions 15 to 252 of the family's 1533-position model. The record is from RNAcentral.
GAUCCUGGCUCAGGACGAACGCUGGCGGCGCGCCUAACACAUGCAAGUCGAACGAGCGAGAGAGAGCUUGCUUUCUCGAGCGAGUGGCGAACGGGUGAGUAACGCGUGAGGAACCUGCCUCAAAGAGGGGGACAACAGUUGGAAACGACUGCUAAUACCGCAUAAGCCCACGACCCGGCAUCGGGAAGAGGGAAAAAGGAGCAAUCCGCUUUGAGAUGGGCCUCGCGUCCGAUUAGCUGGUUGG